Molecule: ribosomal RNA, 557 nt
Filed under: Rhizobium sp. StRD649
Lineage: Bacteria; Pseudomonadati; Pseudomonadota; Alphaproteobacteria; Hyphomicrobiales; Rhizobiaceae
Description: bacterial SSU rRNA
Rfam family: Bacterial small subunit ribosomal RNA
Source: RNAcentral
ACGGGUGAGUAACGCGUGGGAAUCUACCGUGCCCUACGGAAUAGCUCCGGGAAACUGGAAUUAAUACCGUAUACGCCCUUCGGGGGAAAGAUUUAUCGGGGUAUGAUGAGCCCGCGUUGGAUUAGCUAGUUGGUGGGGUAAAGGCCUACCAAGGCGACGAUCCAUAGCUGGUCUGAGAGGAUGAUCAGCCACAUUGGGACUGAGACACGGCCCAAACUCCUACGGGAGGCAGCAGUGGGGAAUAUUGGACAAUGGGCGCAAGCCUGAUCCAGCCAUGCCGCGUGAGUGAUGAAGGCCCUAGGGUUGUAAAGCUCUUUCACCGGUGAAGAUAAUGACGGUAACCGGAGAAGAAGCCCCGGCUAACUUCGUGCCAGCAGCCGCGGUAAUACGAAGGGGGCUAGCGUUGUUCGGAAUUACUGGGCGUAAAGCGCACGUAGGCGGAUAUUUAAGUCAGGGGUGAAAUCCCAGAGCUCAACUCUGGAACUGCCUUUGAUACUGGGUAUCUCGAGUAUGGAAGAGGUGAGUGGAAUUCCGAGUGUAGAGGUGAAAUUCGUAGA